AAACACACUUCAAAGCUGAUGUUACGUUUGUUGUGAACGUUAGCGCUGGCUACCUGCCUGUUUUAUCUUACAGGUGUUCGCAGAAGGGCAGUGUUCACCUGUGUGCUCGCUUUAUUUUCUCAGAAAUCCGGAGUAGUGGAGACAACAUGGUAAACGUGUUCGAUACGGACGAGGAGCACUUUGCUGUUUCCAGUUCCUCGGCUGCAGACACGGCCUUCGAUGGCGUUAUUGGCUGCAUAGAGGACAUCAUCAUGGAGGACGACUUCCAGCAGAUUCAGCAGAUUUUCAUGGAGAAACAUUACCGUGAGUUUGAUGACU
Molecule: non-coding RNA, 318 nt
Organism: Neolamprologus brichardi
Lineage: Eukaryota; Metazoa; Chordata; Actinopteri; Cichliformes; Cichlidae
Source: RefSeq, a predicted model, not a curated record